RNAcentral lists this ribosomal RNA (433 nucleotides) under uncultured bacterium. Its description in RNAcentral is "partial 16S ribosomal RNA". It matches the Rfam family "Bacterial small subunit ribosomal RNA", at positions 29 to 507 of the family's 1533-position model. The record is from RNAcentral.
AACGAACGCUGGCGGCAGGCCUAACACAUGCAAGUCGAGCGCGCCCUUCGGGGUGAGCGGCGGACGGGUGAGUAACGCGUGGGAACGUGCCCUUCUCUGCGGAAUAGCCUCGGGAAACUGAGAGUAAUACCGCAUACGCCCUUUGGGGGAAAGAUUUAUCGGAGAAGGAUCGGCCCGCGUUGGAUUAGGUAGUUGGUGGGGUAAUGGCCCACCAAGCCGACGAUCCAUAGCUGGUUUGAGAGGAUGAUCAGCCACACUGGGACUGAGACACGGCCCAGACUCCUACGGGAGGCAGCAGUGGGGAAUCUUAGACAAUGGGGGCAACCCUGAUGUAGCCAUGCCGCGUGAGUGAUGAAGGCCUUAGGGUUGUAAAGCUCUUUCAGCUGGGAAGAUAAUGACGGUACCAGCAGAAGAAGCCCCGGCUAACUCCGUG